AGCAGCCGCGGUAAUUCCAGCUCCAAUAGCGUAUAUUAAAGUUGUUGUGGUUAAAAAGCUCGUAGUUGAACCUUGGGCCUGGCUGGCCGGUCCGCCUCACCGCGUGUACUGGUCCGGCCGGGCCUUUCCCUCUGUGGAACCCCAUGCCCUUCACUGGGUGUGGCGGGGAAACAGGACUUUUACUGUGAAAAAAUUAGAGUGCUCCAGGCAGGCCUAUGCUCGAAUACAUUAGCAUGGAAUAAUAGAAUAGGACGUGUGGUUCUAUUUUGUUGGUUUCUAGGACCGCCGUAAUGAUUAAUAGGGACAGUCGGGGGCAUCAGUAUUCAAUUGUCAGAGGUGAAAUUCUUGGAUUUAUUGAAGACUAACUACUGCGAAAGCAUUUGCCAAGGAUGUUUUCAUUAAUCAGGAACGAAAGUUAGGGGAUCGAAGACGAUCAGAUACCGUCGUAGUCUUAACCAUAAACUAUGCCGACUAGGGAUCGGACGGUGUUAUUUUUUGAC
Molecule: small RNA, 500 nt
Filed under: uncultured Paraglomus
Lineage: Eukaryota; Fungi; Glomeromycota; Glomeromycetes; Paraglomerales; Paraglomeraceae
Description: SSU rRNA
Rfam family: Eukaryotic small subunit ribosomal RNA
Source: RNAcentral